Non-coding RNA from Schizosaccharomyces pombe (fission yeast), 423 nucleotides. The record is from the annotation of a GenBank genome assembly. NCBI's taxonomy places the organism in Eukaryota, Fungi, Ascomycota, Schizosaccharomycetes, Schizosaccharomycetales, Schizosaccharomycetaceae.
CACGAAUCGAUAUAAACGAUCAGGUGUUUGGAUGUAAACGAGUUUUAUUUAACAUUGCCUACAUCUUAAUUGCAAAAUGGUUUACGAGUUGAAUAUCGAUGAAGAAAAUCUACAGUCAGAUAUUGUAACAGUUAGACUUCUAGACUUUUCUUCGUAUCUUAAACUAAUAUUCCGUUCAUUUAACAAUCAUAAUCAGAUAACUCUAAAUAUGUUUUUGAGGUUAAAUGUUAAAAUACCAUUGCCUUGCUUUUGACACUAAUUUUUAUAAGCUUUUCUGCCUUGCUAUUCAAUUAUUUUGUUAGAACAAAAAUUUCUUGAAUAUUUUGCCAAAGUAGUCGGUAAAUGUAAUUUAAACAAAUUGCUGAUUGCUUCAGUUCAGUCGUGUCGCACAAAAAAGUAUGUAGAUACAUAAUAUAUAUCAAC